RNAcentral lists this transfer RNA (72 nucleotides) under Actinomycetes bacterium. RNAcentral describes it as "tRNA-Pro". It matches the Rfam family "tRNA". From Rfam's summary of the family: Transfer RNA (tRNA) molecules are approximately 80 nucleotides in length. Their secondary structure includes four short double-helical elements and three loops (D, anti-codon, and T loops). The record is from RNAcentral. Lineage: Bacteria; Bacillati; Actinomycetota; Actinomycetes.
CGGGGAGUGGCGCAGCGGUAGCGCUCCCGCUUUGGGAGCGGGAGGUCGGGAGUUCGAGUCUCCCCUCCCCGA